This 499-nucleotide ribosomal RNA is filed under the name uncultured bacterium. RNAcentral describes it as "partial 16S ribosomal RNA". It matches the Rfam family "Bacterial small subunit ribosomal RNA", at positions 30 to 523 of the family's 1533-position model. The record is from RNAcentral.
AUUGAACGCUGGCGGCAUGCCUUACACAUGCAAGUCGAACGGUAACAGGUCUUCGGAUGCUGACGAGUGGCGAACGGGUGAGUAAUACAUCGGAACGUGCCUAGUAGUGGGGGAUAACUACUCGAAAGAGUGGCUAAUACCGCAUGAGAUCUACGGAUGAAAGCAGGGGAUCGCAAGACCUUGUGCUACUAGAGCGGCCGAUGGCAGAUUAGGUAGUUGGUGGGAUAAAAGCUUACCAAGCCGACGAUCUGUAGCUGGUCUGAGAGGAUGAUCAGCCACACUGGGACUGAGACACGGCCCAGACUCCUACGGGAGGCAGCAGUGGGGAAUUUUGGACAAUGGGCGAAAGCCUGAUCCAGCAAUGCCGCGUGCAGGAUGAAGGCCUUCGGGUUGUAAACUGCUUUUGUACGGAACGAAAAGCCCCCGGGUUAAUACCCUGGGGUCAUGACGGUACCGUAAGAAUAAGCACCGGCUAACUACGUGCCAGCCGCCGCAGUAA